AGCUUGACACUGAACACUGGUCCUUGAUGUGUAGGAUAGGUGGGAGGCUUUGAAGUGUGGACGCCAGUCUGCAUGGAGCCAUCCUUGAAAUACCACCCUUUAAUGGCUGGUGUUCUAACGUGGGCCCCUAAUCGGGGUUGCGGACAGUGUCUGGUGGGUAGUUUGACUGGGGCGGUCUCCU
RNAcentral lists this ribosomal RNA (181 nucleotides) under Klebsiella grimontii. RNAcentral describes it as "partial 23S ribosomal RNA". It matches the Rfam family "Bacterial large subunit ribosomal RNA", at positions 2108 to 2288 of the family's 2925-position model. The record is from RNAcentral. Lineage: Bacteria; Pseudomonadati; Pseudomonadota; Gammaproteobacteria; Enterobacterales; Enterobacteriaceae.